GGACCGCCAGGGAAUUCCCUAAAUGAAUAUUUUUAAAUUGUCUCCAUUUUUAUUUCUAAUAUCAACAGAUAUAACUCAUAUAAACAAAAGCUCUUUUGUGGUCCUUAGAAAUUUUUUGAAGUGUAAAAGGAUCUUCAGACCAAAACCUUUGAGAAAUGCCAUACAAAAUCAUUAAAAUUCCAGUGCUUCUGUUCAUGCUUCUAGUGGUACAAACAGUUCACAGAUGGGUCAUGCACUAUCAUUCCAGAAUCUUCCUUAUAACUAGGAGUUUCUGCAGUGUCUUUCAGCAUUGCUUCUCCUUUAGAGAAGUUGGUUGUUUGAGUUUUUAUUAGGUUUUUCUCAGUCUUAAAAAAGUUUAAGCUCUCCUUACUUCAGCCCAUUAUUCUUUAUCAUAAGGAAGAAUAUCAAGCAUAUUAUUGUUAAAAGAGAGAAAAGCAAAGGAAAAACAAUGGAACUUUUCAAUUUAAUUAUAAAAACAAGUAGUGACCAGUAUUUAUGUGCACUUACUAUGUGUCACACUCUGUGCUAAGUGCUUUAUAUUUAUCUUCUCAUUUAAUCCUCUCAACAGUGCCUAAAAAUAGGGUGACCAUAGUCCUCAGUUUGCCUGGGGUGGUCCUGGUUUAUGCCAUUUGUUCAAGCAUAAUUAUUAAUAAUAUCCCCCUGGCAGCACAUAAGUUUCCCAGUUUGGACAUAAAUUAUCUGAUCACCCUCCCUGUAAAAAUUACUCUCCACAGUUUACAAAUUAGGAAACUGAGGCAUAGAGAGAUUGAGUGUCUUGCCCAAAGUACACUGCUAGUAAAUGUGGGUGUGGGAUCCUAGCCCAGGUCUGUCUAGCUUUGUAGUUCAGCCUUUUAAAGAAUUACAAACUGUUUCACAGUGAUAUCAAUGCUCCUGAGAUUUAUGUCGACCCCAACUAUAGUAAUAUAUUCCAGAAUAAAAGAAAGUAGAACACAAAAAUUUAUGAUAAAAUUUUAAGUUCAGUUUCAGUUGUAAAACACUGAUGUGUUAGAUGUGCUGUUCCGACACUCAUCUUUUACACAGUUCAGAGGCGCACACUUGCUAUCAACAGUUUGCAGAAAACCAAUGCUGCUUCUGUGUUGGGGCUUGCGGGGGAGUGCAGUUCUUGCUGGUUCAGUAAAGCUGAAGGAUGCCCAUUUAUAAAACAGGAAAGGUGGACCGAACUGUUAGAGGCCUUCCUAAUAGGGAUUCUCCCUGAUCAUAAGUAACAGAACGCGAGUUUCGUUGGGUGUAUAAAUGUGCUUAGCUUAAAACUACAUCUCCCAGCACUCUGUGCAGAUGAAGGACCUGACCAUGCUAUGCAGACCUGGCCAACGAAAUGUAAGUAGAAGUUGUUGGAUGACGCUUCUGGGAAUGCUUUCUUAAAGUGGAAGGCCAAUUUAGCUGACCUUGCCUUUUACUUUUCUUUACAUCUGGAACUCAAAUGCAAUACUGGAGUUUGAGCAGCCAUCUUGUGACUACAAAGGAACAAGCACAUGUUAAGGAUGGCUAGGUGAAGGGAAGAGAGAAGGACCUGGCUCUCUGAGGACAUUGUGGAUCUACCAAAUCAACCCUGGACUGAAAAAGACAUAUAAAACUGCCUCAGAAUCUGUCUCAACGUGAGUGUCUAAAACCCACACUGCAGCAGAUCAGCCACAUCGUCCAGCAGCUCAGGCUUGAGAAGGACAUGGUCCAGUACUCUUUACAUUUGACUCAUGGUUUUCAAACUCGCUGGCGAUACUCAAAGACAUUCCAAGGAGUACAUAGGCUGGGAAAGUUUUGAGGAAAUCCAUUUUCGAAUGAUCAACUUACAUACUUCUAAAAUUGAUCUGCCUGAGAAUGUUCUUGCAGUCAAGGCACCCAGGCACCAGGCUUGUGUAUACUGAGGCUUCUGCUUAAAACUCUUCAGUUGCUCCCAACUGCUUCUAGGAGAAAGUGCUAACACCAGCAGGGGGCUCACAUCACUCUGCAUGAUCCGAGUCCCACUUACGGCUCCAGACUCCUCUUUCUGUCUCUGCUCAAACUCUGCACUUCAGUCAUCUGGAACUUCUUUUCAGUUCUUUGAAGGUCCUGUUCGUCUCUCAACACUGGGCCUUCACACGGGCUGCUUCCUCUGUGUGGAAUACUCAACCCACCUCCUACCUCCUAGCUACGUGUAAUUUUUACAUAUUCGAAUGUCAGGUUUAGGUACCACUUGAAGCUUUCUCCGACCGCCCCCACCACUACCAUCACUAAGGUUGGAUUAAAUGUUACUCUUUUGUGUUCCUGAUGAAUAAUGUCCUUCCCCAUCAAGCAUGUACUGCAGUCAUCUCUUUCCUUGUCUGUUUCCUCCAAUAGACUGUAGGUUGCAACACAACAGAAACAGUGUCUACUCACCAUCAUAUUAAGCCUCCCACAACGUACGGUACCUGGUAGUUUCUGAAUGAAUAAUGGGAGAAUUAAUGAAUGGAUUGACUUUGCUGAUUCAUCAAUUAAAAGACCUCUGUUGAAAGUAACAGCUACUUUAACAAUCUUAAAGGAAUUUAUUGGAAGGAUAUAAAGGGCUCAUGAAUUGACAGGAAGUUGUAAUACCAGGCUGGAAAAAUAGGUAAAGACCCAGGUAACUCGAGCAGCCAAGAAGCUGGAAAAUGUUAGCAGGAAUAGCCCAAUAGCCUGGGAAGGACACAGUUACCUUUGUUGUAGGGCACUGCUGCUGCCUCUUUGGGAUUCCACCUCAACUGCCCUUGGAGAUAAUCUCCCCACUGCUGGGAAUUAAAUUUCAUUGCCCCAAGGAAACCAUAAACAAGACAAAAAGACAACCCUCAGAAUGGGAGAAAAUAUUUGCAAAUGAAGCAACUGACAGAGGAUUAAUCUCCAGAAUUUACAAGCAGCUCAUGCAGCUCAAUAUCAA
Molecule: long non-coding RNA, 2887 nt
Organism: Balaenoptera musculus (blue whale)
Lineage: Eukaryota; Metazoa; Chordata; Mammalia; Artiodactyla; Balaenopteridae
Exons: 4
Source: RefSeq, a predicted model, not a curated record